This 540-nucleotide ribosomal RNA is filed under the name Lienardia sp. NP-2008. RNAcentral describes it as "partial 12S ribosomal RNA". The record is from RNAcentral. Lineage: Eukaryota; Metazoa; Mollusca; Gastropoda; Neogastropoda; Clathurellidae.
UACCAAGAGAUCAAAUCGUAUAGAUUGGUUAAAAGGUAGUUAUAUAAAGGUGAGAGUUUGUUGAUUGCUUAUCAAAAGGUAAAAUUUAUAGAUAAGUGAGAUAAAUCAAAGAUGGCUUGAUGAUAUUGAAGCUGCGAUAUCCUCGAGGGAAACUGGGAUUGGAUACCCCACUAUUCUUGGAUGUAAAAAGAGAUUACCAGAGUACUAUGAGCAAUUUAUAGCUUAAAACUCAAAGGGCUUGGCGGUGUUUUAGAUCACUCAGGGGAACCUGUUUCGUAAUCGACAGUCCACGUUAAACCUGACCUUCUUUUGUUUUCAGCUUGUAUACCGUUGUCGCCAGGUAACUUUUAAAAACAAAAAAGCUAGCGAAUAAACAGUUUGAGUUUAGACGUCAAAUCAGGGUGCAGUCUAUAAGAAGGAGAGAAUGGGUUACAAUUAUAAAUUUAUAAUACGGAAGAUCAAUUUAAAAAUUGGUUUUAAAGGAGGACUUGAAAGUAACUUUAAGUAUAUAAAUAACUUGAAUCAGACUCUGAAACGUGC